GUUGGUUAUGGAGACAUGUAUCCAGAGGGCGUUCUAGGAAAGCUUGUCGGAAGUAUGACUGUGCUGAUGGGACUUCUAGCAAUUGCACUCCCUGUACCUGUUAUUGUUACAAAU
RNAcentral lists this small RNA (114 nucleotides) under Mytilus galloprovincialis (Mediterranean mussel). It matches the Rfam family "Potassium channel RNA editing signal". Rfam says of the family: This family represents a group of sequences related to the human potassium channel Kv1.1 hairpin element which directs the efficient modification of an adenosine to inosine by an adenosine deaminase acting on RNA (ADAR). The ADAR modification causes an isoleucine/valine recoding event which lies in the ion-conducting pore of the potassium channel. It is thought that this editing event targets the process of fast inactivation and allows a more rapid recovery from inactivation at negative potentials. Lineage: Eukaryota; Metazoa; Mollusca; Bivalvia; Mytilida; Mytilidae. The record is from RNAcentral.